ACGGGAGGCAGCAGUGGGGAAUAUUGCACAAUGGGGGAAACCCUGAUGCAGCGACGCCGCGUGAGUGAAGAAGUAUUUCGGUAUGUAAAGCUCUAUCAGCAAGGAAGAAAAUGACGGUACUUGACUAAGAAGCCCCGGCUAACUACGUGCCAGCAGCCGCGGUAAUACGUAGGGGGCAAGCGUUAUCCGGAUUUACUGGGUGUAAAGGGAGCGUAGACGGCAUAGCAAGUCUGAAGUGAAAUGCAUGGGCUCAACCCAUGAACUGCUUUGGAAACUGUUAAGCUAGAGUGCAGGAGAGGUAAGUGGAAUUCCUAGUGUAGCGGUGAAAUGCGUAGAUAUUAGGAGGAACACCAGAGGCGAAGGCGGCUUACUGGACUGUAACUGACGUUGAGGCUCGAAAGCGUGGGGAGCAAACAGGAUUAGAUACCCUGGUA
This 434-nucleotide ribosomal RNA is filed under the name uncultured Lachnospiraceae bacterium. Its description in RNAcentral is "bacterial SSU rRNA". It matches the Rfam family "Bacterial small subunit ribosomal RNA", at positions 341 to 792 of the family's 1533-position model. Lineage: Bacteria; Bacillati; Bacillota; Clostridia; Lachnospirales; Lachnospiraceae. The record is from RNAcentral.